RNAcentral lists this long non-coding RNA (202 nucleotides) under Hordeum vulgare. RNAcentral's name for it is "long non-coding RNA (HVUL_LNC010915)". The record is from RNAcentral. Lineage: Eukaryota; Viridiplantae; Streptophyta; Magnoliopsida; Poales; Poaceae.
UACUUGACGCGAGCGCGUUGAUUGUUCAUUUGGAGUUGCUUCUCCUUCUUCUUCUUCAUCGAUCUAGGAUGGGUUCCAGGCCGGCAGCCUGGGAUAGCAAGGAUGGACGUCGUUCUUCUUUUGUCGUUUGUUUUCGUCCGUAGUCGGACCCUGCUCUUACUCUUGAUGAUUAUGUAAUGUACUGAUGUGACUCUGAUGUAGC